GAACUUAAGCAUAUCAAUAAGCGGAGGAAAAGAAACCAACAGGGAUUACCUCAGUAACGGCGAGUGAAGCGGUAACAGCUCAAAUUUGAAAUCUGGCUCUUUUAGGGUCCGAGUUGUAAUUUGUAGAAGAUGCUUUGGGAGUGGCUCCGGUCUAAGUUCCUUGGAACAGGACGUCAUAGAGGGUGAGAAUCCCGUACGUGACCGGUCGCCUUCGCCCGUGUAAAGCUCUUUCGACGAGUCGAGUUGUUUGGGAAUGCAGCUCAAAAUGGGUGGUAUAUUUCAUCUAAAGCUAAAUAUUGGCCAGAGACCGAUAGCGCACAAGUAGAGUGAUCGAAAGAUGAAAAGCACUUUGGAAAGAGAGUUAAACAGUACGUGAAAUUGUUGAAAGGGAAGCGCUUGCAACCAGACUUGCACGCGGUCGAUCAUCCGAGGUUUUCCCCGGUGCACUCGACCGUGUUCAGGCCAGCAUCGGUUUCGGUGGUGGGAUAAAGGCCUUGGGAAUGUGGCUCCUUUCGGGGAGUGUUAUAGCCCUCGGUGCAAUGCCGCCUACCGGGACCGAGGACCGCGCUUCGGCUAGGAUGCUGGCGUAAUGGUUGUAAGCGACCCGUCUUGAAACACGGACCAAGGAGUCUAACAUCUAUGCGAGUGUUUGGGUGUCAAACCCAUACGCGGAAUGAAAGUGAACGGAGGUGGGAACCCUUAAGGGUGCACCAUCGACCGAUCCUGAUGUCUUCGGAUGGAUUUGAGUAAGAGCAUAGCUGUUGGGACCCGAAA
Molecule: ribosomal RNA, 774 nt
Filed under: uncultured fungus
Lineage: Eukaryota; Fungi
Description: eukaryotic LSU rRNA
Rfam family: Eukaryotic large subunit ribosomal RNA
Source: RNAcentral